CGCGGGUCCACGCGUGUGAUCGUCCGUGCGUCUAGCCUUUGCCCACGCAGCUUUCAGUCAUGGCCUCCGGUAACGCGCGCAUCGGAAAGCCAGCCCCUGACUUCAAGGCCACAGCGGUGGUUGAUGGCGCCUUCAAAGAGGUGAAGCUGUCGGACUACAAAGGGAAGUACGUGGUCCUCUUUUUCUACCCUCUGGACUUCACUUUUGUGUGCCCCACCGAGAUCAUCGCGUUCAGCAACCGUGCCGAGGACUUCCGCAAGCUGGGCUGUGAAGUGCUGGGCGUCUCGGUGGACUCUCAGUUCACCCACCUGGCUUGGUAUGAGCAGGGGCCAAAGAGGGAGGUUGCAGCUAAGCUCACACCCUCGGGUCCCAGCUGUGUGGCUUCGUGGCCAUUGCUCAACCUCUGGAACCUGCGUUUCCCCAUCGUGAAAAUAAUGGAAACAUCUCCGCCCAAGUCUUUAAGGAUGAUGACAGUAAUUAGCAUUUGACAACUAGUUGCCUGGCAUAUAGAGUUGCAGAUGCAACUCAGAUGCAACUCUAUCUACUCUAUCUACUUAGUUCCCAGGAGGGAGGCUGUGCUGCCCUAUUUCAUGAAGAUGGAAACUCCAGUUCACCGAAGUGAAGGGCUGUACCCCAUGACACAGCUAGAGGAGGAUGGGGACUCUUAACACGGGCUCUCUGCUGGGUGAUGCUGCAAGUUACAAGCACAUGUGAAGCCACUUAGCUGGAGCUGUGCCUCUCAAACUCAGUCUUCCCAGCCGUGGGGAUACAGUCCUUGCACCCAACCCAGGGUGGGGUGGGUGAGGCUCCCAGCAGCCUACUCUAAAGCCCCUUAUCUCUGGCCUCCAGUGCUUAUCACAUUGGGCCCACAGGGUGAGGACCCUGCUGUGCCAGGCAUCCUGAGGCCCCAACUCUGUCUCCCCUACUCCCAGGAUCAACACCCCCCGGAAAGAGGGAGGCUUGGGCCCCCUGAACAUCCCCCUGCUUGCUGACGUGACCAGACGCUUGUCUGAGGAUUACGGCGUGCUGAAAACAGAUGAGGGCAUUGCCUACAGGUACUGUGGGACCCUCAGCCCGGCUCAGGGAGCGCCCUGCCCCCCAUUCCUGUGAUGCUGGGACCACUCCUGUACAAUGUCUUCUCUGCCCCCAGCCCUGUGGCUAGCAGCGGGUGGUUGGUAGUCCCUUCCUUGUCUCUGGCAGUGGGAGCUACCAGCUCCUCACUGGGAACCCUGAUGUCUUCAGGGGCCUCUUUAUCAUCGAUGGCAAGGGUGUCCUUCGCCAGAUCACUGUUAAUGAUUUGCCUGUGGGACGCUCCGUGGAUGAGGCUCUGCGGCUGGUCCAGGCCUUCCAGUACACAGACGAGCAUGGGGAAGUUUGUCCCGCUGGCUGGAAGCCUGGCAGUGACACGAUUAAGCCCAACGUGGAUGACAGCAAGGAAUAUUUCUCCAAACACAAUUAGGCUGGCUAACGGAUAGUGAGCUUGUGCCCCUGCCUAGAUGCCUGUGCUGGGUGUCCACCUGUGCCCCCACCUGGGUGCCCUGUGCUGACCCAGGGAAGGCCAGACCUGCCCCUCCAAACUCCACAGUAUGGAACCCUGGAGGGCUAGGCCAAGGCCUUCUCAUGCCUCCACCUAGGAGCUGAAUAGUGACGCCCUCCCCCAAGCCCACCCAGCCGCACACAGGCCUAGAGGUGACCAAUAAAGUAUUAGGGAAAGGUG
RNAcentral lists this small RNA (1717 nucleotides) under Pan troglodytes (chimpanzee). RNAcentral's name for it is "retained intron". The record is from RNAcentral. Lineage: Eukaryota; Metazoa; Chordata; Mammalia; Primates; Hominidae.